Molecule: ribosomal RNA, 89 nt
Filed under: Aggregatibacter actinomycetemcomitans serotype e str. SC1083
Lineage: Bacteria; Pseudomonadati; Pseudomonadota; Gammaproteobacteria; Pasteurellales; Pasteurellaceae
Source: RNAcentral
UGGCGGUGACCUACUCUCACAUGGGGAUACCCCACACUACCAUCGGCAUUACGGCAUUUCACUUCUGAGUUCGGUAUGGGUUCAGGUGG